GACGAACGCUGGCGGCGUGCUUAACACAUGCAAGUCGAACGGAAAGGCCCUGCUUUUGUGGGGUGCUCGAGUGGCGAACGGGUGAGUAACACGUGAGUAACCUGCCCUUGACUUUGGGAUAACUUCAGGAAACUGGGGCUAAUACCGGAUAGGAGCUCCUGCUGCAUGGUGGGGGUUGGAAAGUUUCGGCGGUUGGGGAUGGACUCGCGGCUUAUCAGCUUGUUGGUGGGGUAGUGGCUUACCAAGGCUUUGACUGGUAGCCGGCCUGAGAGGGUGACCGGCCACAUUGGGACUGAGAUACGGCCCAGACUCCUACGGGAGGCAGCAGUGGGGAAUAUUGCACAAUGGGCGGAAGCCUGAUGCAGCAACGCCGCGUGCGGGAUGACGGCCUUCGGGUUGUAAACCGCUUUCGCCUGUGACGAAGCGUGAGUGGCGGUAAUGGGUAAAGAAGCACCGGCUAACUACGUG
RNAcentral lists this ribosomal RNA (468 nucleotides) under uncultured bacterium. RNAcentral describes it as "partial 16S ribosomal RNA". It matches the Rfam family "Bacterial small subunit ribosomal RNA", at positions 28 to 507 of the family's 1533-position model. The record is from RNAcentral.